RNAcentral lists this ribosomal RNA (293 nucleotides) under uncultured Pseudomonas sp. Its description in RNAcentral is "partial 16S ribosomal RNA". It matches the Rfam family "Bacterial small subunit ribosomal RNA", at positions 1093 to 1382 of the family's 1533-position model. The record is from RNAcentral. Lineage: Bacteria; Pseudomonadati; Pseudomonadota; Gammaproteobacteria; Pseudomonadales; Pseudomonadaceae.
CGAGCGCAACCCUUGUCCUUAGUUACCAGCACGUUAUGGUGGGCACUCUAAGGAGACUGCCGGUGGACAAAACCCGGAGGAAGUGGGGAUGACGUCAAGUCAUCAUGGCCCUUACGGCCUGGGCUACACACGUGCUACAAUGGUCGGGUACAAAGGGUUGCCAAGCCGCGAGGUGGAGCUAAUCCCAUAAAACCGAUCGUAGUCCGGAUCGCAGUCUGCAACUCGACUGCGUGAAGUCGGAAUCGCUAGUAAUCGUGAAUCAGAAUGUCACGGUGAAUACGUUCCCGGGCCUU